This 427-nucleotide ribosomal RNA is filed under the name uncultured bacterium. RNAcentral describes it as "partial 16S ribosomal RNA". It matches the Rfam family "Bacterial small subunit ribosomal RNA", at positions 354 to 796 of the family's 1533-position model. The record is from RNAcentral.
GUGAGGAAUAUUGCACAAUGGGCGAAAGCCUGAUGCAGCAACGCCGCGUGAGUGAUGAAGGCCUUUGGGUCGUAAAACUCUGUCCUUGGGGAAGAAAAAAAUGACGGUACCCUUGGAGGAAGCCCCGGCUAACUACGUGCCAGCAGCCGCGGUAAUACGUAGGGGGCAAGCGUUAUCCGGAAUUAUUGGGCGUAAAGAGUGCGUAGGUGGUUUUGUAAGCGUAGGGUGAAAGGCAGUAGCUCAACUAUUGUUAGCCCUGCGAACUGUGAGACUUGAGUGCAGGAGAGGAAAGUGGAAUUCCUAGUGUAGCGGUGAAAUGCGUAGAUAUUAGGAGGAACACCAGUGGCGAAGGCGACUUUCUGGACUGUAACUGACACUGAGGCACGAAAGCGUGGGUAGCAAACAGGAUUAGAAACCCUAGUAGUCC